Long non-coding RNA from Mercenaria mercenaria, 2811 nucleotides. RefSeq lists it as uncharacterized. Lineage: Eukaryota; Metazoa; Mollusca; Bivalvia; Venerida; Veneridae. The transcript is spliced from 5 exons. The record is from RefSeq and is a predicted model, not a curated record.
GAUUAACGCUUUCUAGCGGUUGUUAUUGCUGCUCGCUAUAAGUACCACUAGUUACCUAGUACCAUAGUUAAAAUAAUUCGACGUUCAUAUUGUUUUAUAUUUGUGACUUGCAGUCUGAACGUCAAAACUUUAAAGGACCAAAAUAAUGAAGAAUGAAUCACAGUACAUAGUCCUGUAAAGUUAUUGGUUUUCUCAUUUGCGCAUACUGCAUGCAUACACGGUAAACGUUAAUCGUCUACAGUACAUACAUAGGUUUAAAUCACCUGUAAAUUCGUAGUUUUGUGAUAUUAUUUGAUAAUUUUUACAUAAAUCAAUAAGGAUUUAAGUCCCCAUUUGAUACAUGUAAUUUUUAUUAAUAUAUAGGCAUAGUACUAGAGCAGAUUUACGCAAUCGAAUACCGCCGGAAGUAGAACAUUUAUGUUAACACCGGUUUCGUAUUUUCACGUGAAAACGGCCAAAAACUGAGAGGUUAUCACCAAAUUAUAAGUUUACGGGUACCAUGAGGAUUUUUCAUGCAUUUAAACGAAAGAAGUACAAGCGAACAGAUGACACAUUAAAGUGGCUGCAGAAGCUUGAAAAGUUAGAUAGAGCAGGGGCAGUCAAAACAGUGGGAUACUACAUCUAUGUAAUUUCUUUUUAAAGGGUGUCCAACAUGUCUAGUCAGGUUGACAGAAGUGAAAGAUGGUCUGAUGGUACAAUGAUGUACAAAUGAUACUCUUUAACAAGUUUAACAUGUCAAGGUGUAAAAUGUUCUGUGGAAUCAUAUGAUGAGAAUGCCAGUGUUGACCUGUAUGACUUAAUUAAACACAGAUAUUGAUACCUUCAGAUAUAUACCUGUGAAAUCUUCAGUGUCAUCGUUCAGCUAUUGUUCAAGAUCAGUGUCUGCAGCUUGCACAGUUUAGUAUAGAGGAGCCUUCUGAAUCAACUUUGUUACAUAUUUGCUGUUAUUGUAGGACACACAUGUAGAGAGCAGCAAGUCCUGUCCAGCGGUGCAUGUAAAUGUGAUUCAGAAACUUUGAAAAUAUGUAAACAUUAUACUGUUAUAAUGUUCAAAAUACUGUGUCUUGUAGUGUAUCAGUACUGUUUUGUCUCAGUUUAUAGCACAGUAUGUUCACAAAUCAAACGUAAGACCAUAGUGAUCAUUAUUAUUAAAAUCAUUAAUGAUUUGUUUGGUGACAAAAUUUAAUUUCAUGCAAUACCACAGUAAAACGUUUGAUAAUUUUUGCUUUUAAAGUUGUAAGUUUCAGGUUGGCAUAAAUUGUUUUUUUUUCUUUCAUAAAUCUAAAAAGUGAUUGGUCAUUAUAACUGCAAUAUCAUUUUAGUAUGACAAAGUUUAUAUUGAACUAAAACACUAAUGUAAAUUUUUGAACUAAUCAAUGCAUUUUCUUCAGUCUUAAAACAUUUGUUUAUCGUAUGUGUCAUGGCCCAUAACUCCUCCAUAUUACUUGUGUUUUGUCCUUUUUCAUUUCACUGAAGAAUAGGUAGAGGUAUUGCACAUCCAUUUUUUAGCAUCCUGAUUUUGUAAAGUGUUGUAUGUAAGGUUUUAUCUCGGAAUUUUGUCUCAUCUAAAGGUGGAGAGAGGUAUUAAUUAUGCCUUCUCGUCUAUCCGCAUUAAGCCUGUCUGGCUUUUAGAGGACAAGCUGCUGGCCAGAUUUUGACGAAACUUCACAGGACUGAUCAGUACCAAGCAUAGUGUUGUGCAUAUCGCUUGCAUGUUUCGUUUUGAUGCACUAAAUUGCAGCCAGAGCUAAAAAUAGAAAAAUCUUGUCGGCUUUUACAGGUUAAAACUACUUAAAAGAUUUUGAUGAAACUUCACAGGAGUGAUCAGUACCAAGUAUAUUUUUGCAUAUCACCGACACUUUCCAUUUUGCUGCACAAAAUAGCCGCCACAGCUAAAGGUAUACAUAGGUGGGAGACAUGUUUUGUCAUAAAAAUACCUAAAGCACCUUCCACUUUGUUAAUGAAAAAUGUAACAAACGUCUUACAAUUGCAAACUGUAAUAAUUUGACAUUAAAUGCACUAGUUCUAUAACUGCAUUUGGCUUUUUCAUAAUUAUUGCCCUUUUCUUACCAUAGCAAUAUUUUGUGUAACAUGUUACUUCAUUAAGCAUCAUAAGAUCAGAAAGUUCUAUGACUCAGAAAUGUUGGCCCUUUCGUACUUGUCAUGAGUAUGUUUUCAGUAUUUUAAAUUGUCAUUACUUUUUGUUGUGCCAGUUUACGGAAAUGAAGAUUUAGUUGUCCAAAUGUUGUGCCUGUCCUGGUUUGUUUGUCUGGACAAUAUACUAUUGAUUAGUCUUCACGAAACUUUGCAGGUUAAUUUCCUUAAGUUCCCUGUCAACUUUGAUAGUGGCAUGGUUACUUUAGAAACACUAAAGUGAUGUCACCACUGUACUAGUCAAACGUUUUGUAUUUCAGAUUUUAUAUCACAUUACAGGCUACAGGUCUUCAGCAGCCUCCAUAAAACUUUCAUAAAAGUUUCCAAAAAUGUUGUAUUUUGAUUUGAACUGGCAUUAUUCAAACAGUAAGAAGUAGUACUAUAAGGCAACAUUUGACCUCUUUUCCAGUAAUUUUUGAUUUUCUCUGUUACUAUGAAGUUGCCUUUUCUUAGAAAUUGGUUGGCUUAUUUUUGUAGCUGUGUUCUUUAUCUCAUGAAAAUUUCCAUUUUUUGUAUAAUUCAUAUUUUUUACUGUCAACAAAGUGCAAUUAUACCAUAUACUUAUCACUUUCAUUAACAUACCUGUACUAUUUUCAUAAAACAUUAUAUAAAUCAUUAUAUUCCAUAUAAACAGAAUUAAAUAAAUAUUUAAGAACA